UACAGAGGCCUCGAGCGUUAGGCGGAAUCACUGGGCUUAAAGCGUGUGUAGGCGGAGUGCUAAGUACCUUGUGAAAUCCCACAGCUCAACUGUGGAAUUGCUUGGUAUACUGGCAUUCUUGAGCCAUCUAGGGGCGAGCGGAACAAAUGGUGGAGCGGUGAAAUGCGUAGAUAUCAUUUGGAACGCCAACGGUGAAAGCAGCUCGCUGGGGAUGUGCUGACGCUGAGACACGAAAGCCAGGGGAGCAAACGGG
RNAcentral lists this ribosomal RNA (253 nucleotides) under uncultured bacterium. RNAcentral's name for it is "partial 16S ribosomal RNA". It matches the Rfam family "Bacterial small subunit ribosomal RNA", at positions 524 to 776 of the family's 1533-position model. The record is from RNAcentral.